Molecule: ribosomal RNA, 301 nt
Filed under: uncultured bacterium
Lineage: Bacteria
Description: partial 16S ribosomal RNA
Rfam family: Bacterial small subunit ribosomal RNA
Source: RNAcentral
CAGUCGCCGCGGGAAUACGUAGGGGGCAAGCGUUAUCCGGAUUUACUGGGUGUAAAGGGAGCGCAGACGGCUCUGCAAGUCUGAAGUGAAAGCCCGCGGCUUAACCGCGGGACUGCUUUGGAAACUGCAAGGCUUGAGUAUCGGAGGGGCAGGCGGAAUUCCUAGUGUAGCGGUGAAAUGCGUAGAUAUUAGGAAGAACACCGGUGGCGAAGGCGGCCUGCUGGACGAAAACUGACGUUGAGGAGCGAAAGCGUGGGGAGCGAACAGGAUUAGAGACCCCGGUAGUCCCUGUCUCUUAUAU